CUUUGGGGUGUGACUGCGUACCUUUUGUAUAAUGGGUCAGCGACUUAUAUUCUGUAGCAAGGUUAACCGAAUAGGGGAGCCGGAGGGAAACCGAGUCUUAAUUGGGCGUUAAGUUGCAGGGUAUAGACCCGAAACCCGGUGAUCUAGCCAUGGGCAGGUUGAAGGUUGGGUAACACUAACUGGAGGACCGAACCGACUAAUGUUGAAAAAUUAGCGGAUGACCUGUGGCUGGGGGUGAAAGGCCAAUCAAACCGGGAGAUAGCUGGUUCUCCCCGAAAGCUAUUUAGGUAGCGCCUCGUGAAUUCAUCUCCGGGGGUAGAGCACUGUUUCGGCUAGGGGGCCAUCCCGGCUUACCAACCCGAUGCAAACUGCGAAUACCGGAGAAUGUUAUCACGGGAGACACACGGCGGGUGCUAACGUCCGUCGUGAAGAGGGAAACAACCCAGACCGCCAGCUAAGGUCCCAAAGUCAUGGUUAAGUGGGAAACGAUGUGGGAAGGCCCAGACAGCCAGGAUGUUGGCUUAGAAGCAGCCAUCAUUUAAAGAAAGCGUAAUAGCUCACUGGUCGAGUCGGCCUGCGCGGAAGAUGUAACGGGGCUAAACCAUGCACCGAAGCUGCGGCAGCGAACGUAUCACUUAAAGCGAUUCAGCGGGUUACGAUUGACGGAGCGAAGCGACGUCAAAGCGUAUACAAAGUCGAGUCGGUUUAAGGAUACGUU
Molecule: ribosomal RNA, 718 nt
Filed under: Salmonella enterica subsp. enterica serovar Agona
Lineage: Bacteria; Pseudomonadati; Pseudomonadota; Gammaproteobacteria; Enterobacterales; Enterobacteriaceae
Description: partial 23S ribosomal RNA
Rfam family: Bacterial large subunit ribosomal RNA
Source: RNAcentral